AAUGACAUUAGAUAGGAUAAACCACCAUGUUUUACAACGACAAGCAGCGACUGCUUUGUCUGGGCCAAAAAGGGUAUGGCAUAUUAUAUCUUUCUCCAAUUGCUUUUCUUUCUGUUUUCUUUCUUAUCCUUGAUGUUUUGGUAUGGAAUCCCCCCGACCGGUUAGUUCUAGAGGUACUGGGCUUGGAUUCUUUCUCGGUUCUCCUCCCACCACAGCUUGGCGUGCACCUCCCCGAACCUCUCUCGGCUGCACGACCACCAAACCCGUGAGAUGCGCAGGGCGUGAGAUUGUUGAUGUAAACACAUGUACUGA
This 312-nucleotide long non-coding RNA is filed under the name Musa acuminata (dwarf banana). RNAcentral describes it as "long non-coding RNA (MACU_LNC002206)". The record is from RNAcentral. Lineage: Eukaryota; Viridiplantae; Streptophyta; Magnoliopsida; Zingiberales; Musaceae.